UCGCCUGUUUAACAAAAACAUGUCUUUUUGAUUAUAAUCUAAAGUCUGGCCUGCCCUAUGAAUAAGUUAUUUUAAAUGGCUGCGGUAUUUUGACCGUGCAAAGGUAGCAUAAUAAUUAGUUUUUUGAUUGGGAACUGGUAUGAAAGGUCGCACGAGAAAAAGACUGUCUCAAUUUAAUUUGAAUUAGAAUUUUAUUUUUAAGUAAAAAAGCUUAAAUAAUUUUAAAAGACGAGAAGACCCUAUAGAGUUUUAUAUAAUUUAAUAUUUUUGAAAGUUAAAGAAUUUUAGAUUUAAUUAUAUUAAAUUAUAUUUGGUUGGGGCAAUUAAAAAAUUAAAUUAAUUUUUUUUAAAUAAAAACAUUGAUGUAUGAUUAAGUGAUCCAUUAUUAAUGAUUAAAAGAUUAAAUUACCUUAGGGAUAACAGCGUAAUUUUUUUUAGAGUUCUUAUCGAAAAAAAAGUUUGCGACCUCGAUGUUGGAUUAAAA
RNAcentral lists this ribosomal RNA (484 nucleotides) under Dendropaemon nigritulus. RNAcentral describes it as "partial large subunit ribosomal RNA". It matches the Rfam family "Bacterial large subunit ribosomal RNA", at positions 1796 to 2542 of the family's 2925-position model. Lineage: Eukaryota; Metazoa; Arthropoda; Insecta; Coleoptera; Scarabaeidae. The record is from RNAcentral.